RNAcentral lists this ribosomal RNA (2901 nucleotides) under Escherichia coli. Its description in RNAcentral is "23S ribosomal RNA". It matches the Rfam family "Bacterial large subunit ribosomal RNA". The record is from RNAcentral. Lineage: Bacteria; Pseudomonadati; Pseudomonadota; Gammaproteobacteria; Enterobacterales; Enterobacteriaceae.
UUAAGCGACUAAGCGUACACGGUGGAUGCCCUGGCAGUCAGAGGCGAUGAAGGACGUGCUAAUCUGCGAUAAGCGUCGGUAAGGUGAUAUGAACCGUUAUAACCGGCGAUUUCCGAAUGGGGAAACCCAGUGUGAUUCGUCACACUAUCAUUAACUGAAUCCAUAGGUUAAUGAGGCGAACCGGGGGAACUGAAACAUCUAAGUACCCCGAGGAAAAGAAAUCAACCGAGAUUCCCCCAGUAGCGGCGAGCGAACGGGGAGGAGCCCAGAGCCUGAAUCAGUGUGUGUGUUAGUGGAAGCGUCUGGAAAGGCGCGCGAUACAGGGUGACAGCCCCGUACACAAAAAUGCACAUACUGUGAGCUCGAUGAGUAGGGCGGGACACGUGGUAUCCUGUCUGAAUAUGGGGGGACCAUCCUCCAAGGCUAAAUACUCCUGACUGACCGAUAGUGAACCAGUACCGUGAGGGAAAGGCGAAAAGAACCCCGGCGAGGGGAGUGAAAAAGAACCUGAAACCGUGUACGUACAAGCAGUGGGAGCACAGAGCAAUCUGUGUGACUGCGUACCUUUUGUAUAAUGGGUCAGCGACUUAUAUUCUGUAGCAAGGUUAACCGAAUAGGGGAGCCGAAGGGAAACCGAGUCUUAACCGGGCGUUAAGUUGCAGGGUAUAGACCCGAAACCCGGUGAUCUAGCCAUGGGCAGGUUGAAGGUUGGGUAACACUAACUGGAGGACCGAACCGACUAAUGUUGAAAAAUUAGCGGAUGACUUGUGGCUGGGGGUGAAAGGCCAAUCAAACCGGGAGAUAGCUGGUUCUCCCCGAAAGCUAUUUAGGUAGCGCCUCGUGAAUUCAUCUCCGGGGGUAGAGCACUGUUUCGGCAAGGGGGUCAUCCCGACUUACCAACCCGAUGCAAACUGCGAAUACCGGAGAAUGUUAUCACGGGAGACACACGGCGGGUGCUAACGUCCGUCGUGAAGAGGGAAACAACCCAGACCGCCAGCUAAGGUCCCAAAGUCAUGGUUAAGUGGGAAACGAUGUGGGAAGGCCCAGACAGCCAGGAUGUUGGCUUAGAAGCAGCCAUCAUUUAAAGAAAGCGUAAUAGCUCACUGGUCGAGUCGGCCUGCGCGGAAGAUGUAACGGGGCUAAACCAUGCACCGAAGCUGCGGCAGCGACACUGUGUGUUGUUGGGUAGGGGAGCGUUCUGUAAGCCUGUGAAGGUGUGCUGUGAGGCAUGCUGGAGGUAUCAGAAGUGCGAAUGCUGACAUAAGUAACGAUAAAGCGGGUGAAAAGCCCGCUCGCCGGAAGACCAAGGGUUCCUGUCCAACGUUAAUCGGGGCAGGGUGAGUCGACCCCUAAGGCGAGGCCGAAAGGCGUAGUCGAUGGGAAACAGGUUAAUAUUCCUGUACUUGGUGUUACUGCGAAGGGGGGACGGAGAAGGCUAUGUUGGCCGGGCGACGGUUGUCCCGGUUUAAGCGUGUAGGCUGGUUUUCCAGGCAAAUCCGGAAAAUCAAGGCUGAGGCGUGAUGACGAGGCACUACGGUGCUGAAGCAACAAAUGCCCUGCUUCCGGGAAAGCCUCUAAGCAUCAGGUAACAUCAAAUCGUACCCCAAACCGACACAGGUGGUCAGGUAGAGAAUACCAAGGCGCUUGAGAGAACUCGGGUGAAGGAACUAGGCAAAAUGGUGCCGUAACUUCGGGAGAAGGCACGCUGAUAUGUAGGUGAAGUCCCUCGCGGAUGGAGCUGAAAUCAGUCGAAGAUACCAGCUGGCUGCAACUGUUUAUUAAAAACACAGCACUGUGCAAACACGAAAGUGGACGUAUACGGUGUGACGCCUGCCCGGUGCCGGAAGGUUAAUUGAUGGGGUCAGCGCAAGCGAAGCUCUUGAUCGAAGCCCCGGUAAACGGCGGCCGUAACUAUAACGGUCCUAAGGUAGCGAAAUUCCUUGUCGGGUAAGUUCCGACCUGCACGAAUGGCGUAAUGAUGGCCGGGCUGUCUCCACCCGAGACUCAGUGAAAUUGAACUCGCUGUGAAGAUGCAGUGUACCCGCGGCAAGACGGAAAGACCCCGUGAACCUUUACUAUAGCUUGACACUGAACAUUGAGCCUUGAUGUGUAGGAUAGGUGGGAGGCUUUGAAGUGUGGACGCCAGUCUGCAUGGAGCCGACCUUGAAAUACCACCCUUUAAUGUUUGAUGUUCUAACGUGGACCCGUGAUCCGGGUUGCGGACAGUGUCUGGUGGGUAGUUUGACUGGGGCGGUCUCCUCCUAAAGAGUAACGGAGGAGCACGAAGGUUGGCUAAUCCUGGUCGGACAUCAGGAGGUUAGUGCAAUGGCAUAAGCCAGCUUGACUGCGAGCGUGACGGCGCGAGCAGGUGCGAAAGCAGGUCAUAGUGAUCCGGUGGUUCUGAAUGGAAGGGCCAUCGCUCAACGGAUAAAAGGUACUCCGGGGAUAACAGGCUGAUACCGCCCAAGAGUUCAUAUCGACGGCGGUGUUUGGCACCUCGAUGUCGGCUCAUCACAUCCUGGGGCUGAAGUAGGUCCCAAGGGUAUGGCUGUUCGCCAUUUAAAGUGGUACGCGAGCUGGGUUUAGAACGUCGUGAGACAGUUCGGUCCCUAUCUGCCGUGGGCGCUGGAGAACUGAGGGGGGCUGCUCCUAGUACGAGAGGACCGGAGUGGACGCAUCACUGGUGUUCGGGUUGUCAUGCCAAUGGCACUGCCCGGUAGCUAAAUGCGGAAGAGAUAAGUGCUGAAAGCAUCUAAGCACGAAACUUGCCCCGAGAUGAGUUCUCCCUGACCCUUUAAGGGUCCUGAAGGAACGUUGAAGACGACGACGUUGAUAGGCCGGGUGUGUAAGCGCAGCGAUGCGUUGAGCUAACCGGUACUAAUGAACCGUGAGGCUUAACCU